GAAAUAGGAAACCAGUGAUGUAGCAAAUAAUUGGUGAAGGGAAAUAACCUUGCCCUUUAUCUUUCCACGGGUGGUGAAUUUCCAGCGGAGAGCCGGUUGGUGGCUUCCCACAGUGAAAGUGCUGGCCGCGCUCUGCUCCCCCAGCACCUGACACAGCAGUGUGCCUGUGGAAAAUGCUCGAGGGACAGCAAAUGAACGAAGCAUUCGAAGAUGUGUUGAACCACGUUUGAACUUCUGUGUGCCUUGCUUCAUAUGCUUUCGACGGAGGUCCUCUGGAUUUAUCUUGUCUGUUACUGGCUUAUCCCCCAUAACCAGUUUGAAGCCACGGGGCAGAGUUGUGGAAUCGUGGGGAAAAGCAGCAGCUGGUGGAACCCGAGGGGGGCCGGAAACAGCCCAGACCCUGCUCUUGAGCAGACACAGUGGGGUGAAGAGGAAAACAUGCCAGCUAGUGCUCUGGAAGUAUCUGAUCCAACCUGGAAUUAGACUGAGAGUUCCUCUCCUUUCUUGCCCUUUCUAUAAUUAGGUUAUAAAUAAAUAAAAGUAUUUUUGAUACCUUAUAACAAA
Callorhinus ursinus (northern fur seal) is the source of this 564-nucleotide non-coding RNA. The record is from RefSeq and is a predicted model, not a curated record. Lineage: Eukaryota; Metazoa; Chordata; Mammalia; Carnivora; Otariidae.